This 385-nucleotide ribosomal RNA is filed under the name uncultured bacterium. RNAcentral's name for it is "bacterial SSU rRNA". It matches the Rfam family "Bacterial small subunit ribosomal RNA", at positions 30 to 417 of the family's 1533-position model. The record is from RNAcentral.
AUUGAACGCUGGCGGCAUGCCUUACACAUGUAAGUCGAACGGCAGCACGGGGCAACCUGGUGGCGAGUGGCGAACGGGUGAGUAAUGCAUCGGAACGUGCCAUUGAGUGGGGGAUAACGUAGCGAAAGUUGCGCUAAUACCGCAUAUUCUGUGAGCAGGAAAGCAGGGGACCGCAAGGCCUUGCGCUCUUUGAGCGGCCGAUGUCAGAUUAGCUAGUUGGUGAGGUAACGGCUUACCAAGGCGACGAUCUGUAGCGGGUCUGAGAGGAUGAUCCGCCACACUGGAACUGAGACACGGUCCAGACUCCUACGGGAGGCAGCAGUGGGGAAUUUUGGACAAUGGGCGCAAGCCUGAUCCAGCCAUGCCGCGUGAGUGAAGAAGGCCU